This 476-nucleotide ribosomal RNA is filed under the name uncultured bacterium. RNAcentral describes it as "partial 16S ribosomal RNA". It matches the Rfam family "Bacterial small subunit ribosomal RNA", at positions 28 to 523 of the family's 1533-position model. The record is from RNAcentral.
GAUGAACGCUGGCGGCGUGCUUAACACAUGCAAGUCGAGCGAGUGAGUUCUUCGGAACGAUCUAGCGGCGGACGGGUGAGUAACACGUGGGCAACCUGCCUCAUAGAGGGGAAUAGCCUCCCGAAGGGGAGAUUAAUACCGCAUAACAUUAACGCGUGGCAUCACACGGUAAUCAAAGGAGCAAUCCGCUAUGAGAUGGGCCCGCGGCGCAUUAGCUAGUUGGUGAGGUAACGGCUCACCAAGGCGACGAAGCGUAUCCGACCUGAGAGGGUGAUCGGCCACAUUGGGACUGAGACACGGCCCAGACUCCUACGGGAGGCAGCAGUGUGGAAUAUUGCACAAUGGGGGUAACCCUGAUGCAGCAACGCCGCGUGAGUGAUGAAUGUCCUCGGAUUGUAAAGCUCUGUCUUUGGGGACGAUAAUGACGGUACCCAAGGAGGAAGCCACGGCUAACUACGUGCCAGCCGCCGCCGUAA